Molecule: ribosomal RNA, 597 nt
Filed under: uncultured eukaryote
Lineage: Eukaryota
Description: bacterial SSU rRNA
Rfam family: Eukaryotic small subunit ribosomal RNA
Source: RNAcentral
GAUUAUACAGUGAAACUGCGGAUGGCUCAUUAAAUCAGUUAUAGUUUAUUUGAUGGUUCCUUUUUUACUACUCGGAUAACCGUAGUAAUCCUAGAGCUAAUACGUGCAUAAAACUUUGACUAGGGGGUAACCAAGAGGCAACUUUUGGAAGCCAUCACCCUAGGAAAAAGUGUAUUUAUUAGAUAAAAAACCAGCACAAGGUAAUUAAUUAAUUACAAUAUAGAUAAACAUGGAUCAAGUGCAAAACUAUAAUCCCUAUAUUGUAAGCCUUGUUUAUCCUGGUGAGUCACAGUAACUCGAUCGGAUCGCGAUUAUCAUGGCCUUCGCGGGUCAUGGCGACGAUUCAUUCAAAUUUCUGCCCUAUCAACUUUCGAUGGUAGUUUAUGCGCCUACCAUGGUUGUAACGGGUAACGGAGAAUAAGGGUUCGACUCCGGAGAGGGAGCCUGAGAAACGGCUACCACAUCCAAGGAAGGCAGCAGGCACGCAAAUUACCCACUCCCAGCACGGGGAGGUAGUGACGAAAAAUAACGAGACGGCUCGCUAUGCGGUCCGUCAUCGGAAUGGGUACAAUUUAAAUCCUUUAACGAGGAUCUAUU